This 433-nucleotide ribosomal RNA is filed under the name uncultured bacterium. Its description in RNAcentral is "partial 16S ribosomal RNA". It matches the Rfam family "Bacterial small subunit ribosomal RNA", at positions 29 to 507 of the family's 1533-position model. The record is from RNAcentral.
AACGAACGCUGGCGACAUGCCUAACACAUGCAAGUCGAACGAGACCUUCGGGUCUAGUGGCGCACGGGUGCGUAACGCGUGGGAACCUGCCCUUAGGUUCGGAAUAACUCCCCGAAAGGGGUGCUAAUACCGGAUAAUGUCUUCGGACCAAAGAUUUAUCGCCUUUGGAUGGGCCCGCGUUGGAUUAGCUAGUUGGUAGGGUAAAAGCCUACCAAGGCGACGAUCCAUAGCUGGUCUGAGAGGAUGAUCAGCCACACUGGGACUGAGACACGGCCCAGACUCCUACGGGAGGCAGCAGUGGGGAAUAUUGGACAAUGGGCGGAAGCCUGAUCCAGCAAUGCCGCGUGAGUGAUGAAGGCCUUAGAGUUGUAAAGCUCUUUUACCCGGGAUGAUAAUGACAGUACCGGGAGAAUAAGCUCCGGCUAACUCCGUG